GGGGGUGUGGCUCAGUGGUAGAGCACUUGCCUAGCAUGUAUGAGGCACUGGGUUCGAUUCUCAGCAUCGCGU
This 72-nucleotide transfer RNA is filed under the name Ictidomys tridecemlineatus (thirteen-lined ground squirrel). RNAcentral describes it as "Spermophilus tridecemlineatus (thirteen-lined ground squirrel) tRNA". It matches the Rfam family "tRNA". Rfam says of the family: Transfer RNA (tRNA) molecules are approximately 80 nucleotides in length. Their secondary structure includes four short double-helical elements and three loops (D, anti-codon, and T loops). The record is from Rfam by way of RNAcentral. Lineage: Eukaryota; Metazoa; Chordata; Mammalia; Rodentia; Sciuridae.